UACGGAGGAUUCGAGCGUUAUCCGGAUUUAUUGGGUUUAAAGGGAGCGUAGGCGGGUUGUUAAGUCAGUUGUGAAAGUUUGCGGCUCAACCGUAAAAUUGCAGUUGAUACUGGCAUCCUUGAGUACAGUAGAGGUAGGCGGAAUUCGUGGUGUAGCGGUGAAAUGCUUAGAUAUCGCGAAGAACUCCGAUUGCGAAGGCAGCCUGCUGGACUGUAACUGACGCUGAUGCUCGAAAGUGUGGGUAUCAAAUAGG
This 253-nucleotide ribosomal RNA is filed under the name uncultured bacterium. RNAcentral's name for it is "partial 16S ribosomal RNA". It matches the Rfam family "Bacterial small subunit ribosomal RNA", at positions 524 to 776 of the family's 1533-position model. The record is from RNAcentral.